This 497-nucleotide ribosomal RNA is filed under the name uncultured bacterium. RNAcentral describes it as "partial 16S ribosomal RNA". It matches the Rfam family "Bacterial small subunit ribosomal RNA", at positions 28 to 507 of the family's 1533-position model. The record is from RNAcentral.
GAUGAACGCUGGCGGCGUGCCUAAUACAUGCGAGUCGAGCGAACGGACGAGAAGCUUGCUUCUCUGAUGUUAGCGGCGGACGGGUGAGUAACACGUGGAUAACCUACCUAUAAGACUGAGAUAACUUCGGGAAACCGGAGCUAAUACCGGAUAAUAUUUUGAACCGCAUGGUUCAAAAGUGAAAGACGGUCUUGCUGUCACUUAUAGAUGGAUCCGCGCUGCAUUAGCUAGUUGGUAAGGUAACGGCUUACCAAGGCAACGAUGCAUAGCCGACCUGAGAGGGUGAUCGGCCACACUGGAACUGAGACACGGUCCAGACUCCUACGGGAGGCAGCAGUAGGGAAUCUUCCGCAAUGGGCGAAAGCCUGACGGAGCAACGCCGCGUGAGUGAUGAAGGUCUUCGGAUCGUAAAACUCUGUUAUUAGGGAAGAACAUAUGUGUAAGUAACUGUGCACAUCUUGACGGUACCUAAUCAGAAAGCCACGGCUAACUACGUA